This is a long non-coding RNA of Polistes canadensis, 3838 nucleotides long. RefSeq lists it as uncharacterized. The transcript has 2 exons. NCBI's taxonomy places the organism in Eukaryota, Metazoa, Arthropoda, Insecta, Hymenoptera, Vespidae. The record is from RefSeq and is a predicted model, not a curated record.
AACAUGAAACCCAGCUCCAUACUAGCCCUUCCCCUCUUCCUCUUCUCGUUCCGUUUUCUUCUCAUUUCUUCCUCCCCUCCGCAUUUUCUCUCUCUUUCAUACACACAUACACGCAAGCGCGCGACACACACACCAACACCACAUGUUCGAUACAUAUCUCGUACAUUCGUGCAAGGCACACGUCCUAACACAUAGAAACAUUUUCUCUCACACGUACGUUCAGUCCCUGCCCUCCGCGAUCCGCGCCCCUCCCGAGCGUUCCUUCGUUCCUCGUUCGCUCCGCCGACCCCCUUCUCAUCCGUGCGUUCGUUCGUGGUUCGUUCGUUCGUUCGUUAGGUUGCCAAUGCUUGGCCCUGGGAAUGCGCGGCUCGAACGUACCUCUCUCUUUCUCACUCUUUCUCUCUCCCCUCUCACUCUUUGGCCGUCUCUCUCCCUCAUUCGUCUUAUUGACCCGGACCCGGUUCUCUUCUCUCUCUCUUUCUCUUUCUCUUCGUUCUUCCCUCCCUCUUUCUUUCUCUUUCUCUUCGAUUCGUCGCGUCACCUCCAACUCACCCACCUCGUGUCCAAGGGUUGGGUGGUAAAAGGAAGUUGUACGAAUACAAGGUACAGGUCCUAUCCAAUCUAUAUGUAUACAUUUUCAUUUUUCUUCCUUCCUCUUCCAUUCUUCGCGUAAUACAUAAACACGCGUCUCUCUUUCUCUCUCUCUCUCGCUGUCUCUCCCUAGCGAUUUCGAAUAUUCGGAGGGAUGUUCGUCGAAGCGGCACCCAUUCUCCCGUGAAUUUCUUCGCGGUGAAAUUAAUAUUCGCCUUUCGAGGCCACGAUAAAAUCGCAAGCGCCAUGGAACGUAGAAGUCGGGAGUAAAAGUAAGAGCCUAGAGGCAAAUACGCGGUACAAUGCGUCGAUGCUUCGAAAGUAUAGAUGAACAUUGGCUACAAACAUUAUAGAAUGUUGGAACACGGUAGAAAGUUGGAAUUCAUUUCCACCGUGGCUUGAAAAAUAAUACAAAAUAUGAAAAAAUAUAAAACAUCGAGUAAACAACCAAAAAAAAAAAUACAAAAUAAAAAUGAAAGAAUGUAGGAACUUGUAUAGUUAGUGGUAGCGGUGUAGUAGGCAAAUCGAAGAAAGUACGUUUUCAUCUUCGUAUAACCUCAUUCAUAUGCCUUCCAAUCCGAGAUAUGUAUAAAGGAGCACUUAAAGUGUACAAUUGAUGAAGAAGCCGGAUCGAGAUGAAAAUUUUAUUUCGCCGAACAGGUUUUUUCUAUAUUGGAAGGUCCGCGAUUACUUGGCAGUUUUGCACGAUAUUCGCGCCGCCAUCCUGCGCUUCCAGGGGUGAAUGAAAUUUAAAAUUGCAAGGCGUUGCUGCUUAAUUUAUUCCAUUUCAUAGACCAUCUGGUCUCUUUAGUCGAAAAGUUGUCGUAAUUCACGACUUUAAUGCUAUUUUAACAUAUUUCAUUUGAAACACACGUAUACACACGCGCGUUUUCCUAGAACCAAAUGAAACAGCACAAUUAAUGAUCACAUACGACUUUCUAAUUAGUAUUUCUAAUUCCCCUAGGAUAUAUUUUAGUGUUACUUUAAUUGCCCUUUAUUUUAAACUCUUCUAAUUGCGAGCUAUACUCGCAUAUUUUUGUUCUAAGAAUUUCUUAAGAUUUGGCAUAUCUUCGUCGUCUUUUCUUUCUUUCUUUCUUUCUUUUUUUCUUUCUUUCUUUCUUACCUUUUUCCCUUAUUUCUUUGUUGAGGCGGAGUAUGCGGUUUUAAUGCAAAUACAUACAUAUGUCUAUAUAGAAAUAAUGCACAAUUCCUAGAUGAAAAAAAACGUAUCGCGAAUAGCAAUCUACCGAUUAGAAUUUAUCGUUUGCAAUGGGCUAGGGACCGGUCACGAGGUUUUUACCCGAGUAACGUAACCCAAGCACGAAACAGAAAUUCUCACAAGCCUUUAAAACCAAUUUCUUUUUAUCGUACGUUAUCUUAGAACAACAACGUCAAAAUGUUCGACUUUAUUUCCAUUCUGGGCAUCUUAAAAGUAAGGCUGAACUAAUAACGAGUUCCUUGUUAUACUAUUUUACGACAAAGCUCUCAACGUACGUUUGGCGUAUUAUUCGAAAACGAUCGUUAGCUCGUAAAUCAUUCUUUUGAAAAUUUUCUCAUACAAUUACGGGUCAGUUUGCCGAAAUAAUAUUCGAAAUCAAGCGAGAAAUACUAUUAUACGGUUAUCGGUUUCCCCUUGUCCCUUCGUUCCUGCCAUUCGUUGUCAUCGUCUUUCCAAGAGGAGAGUCUAAAGGCACAAGGACCUCUCUCCCUCUUUCUCUUUCUUUCUCUCUUUCUCUCUCUCUCUCUUUUAUUAUCAAAGAAGCGAGUUUGAAAUUUGUUCAGGCCCGUUUCGAAAAAACAUUACCCAGUAAACGUGAUUUCAAGUAGAAAUUGUAACGUUCCCGUUUCUAAGAGCUUUUUUUCUUUUUACUCGAUCGUAUGCUAAAUUCUAAUAAGAGGAAAAAAUAUCUUCCCGUUCGAUGGCACGACGAAUGAACAAACGAACGAACGAACGAUCAUGCGGAAGACGGGCCCAACGUAGCCCGGAAGCGUGUAAAUCGACCUUUAAGGUUCGUCGAUCGGUAAGGCGGACAACACUCGUCGAGUACAGAAGAGUGAGAGAAAAAGGGUGCGCGAAAAGCAGGAAGCGUCGAUGUGGGGCAAAUUCCAGUGACCGUAGCGGUGUAACGAAACUAAGAAGGGCAAAAAAGUUGACCUCGAGUUUCAAGGGUAGAGAAGGCAGUCAUCCGCCCCUCUACGUUAGUAGAAGGGGGGAUCUACGAGCCAUAACUCUCGUAUUCUUCACGAAGGAAACGAACGAAAGAGAGAAGGCGACGUUGACUCGGCGUCGAUGCCGGUAGUCUCCCGCCAUCCCCACCGGCCAAAUCAAGCAUCCCGAUUGGCCGAAGCGUCCUGGCCCUCCUUUGUGAGGGAGCGGGUGAAAGCGUGGCUUGGCAACGUCGCGCAAGUUCAACGCUGCCCGCUAGAAAGAAGGCUAACCUCGUGUGAAAGCGAAAGAGAGAGAAAGAGAGACGGAUCGACGCGUAUGGCGAAGUGGAAGGAGUAGAAGGGAGGAAAGGAGAAAGAAAGAGAGAGAAAGAGAGAGAAAGAGAGAGAGAGAGAGACGAAACGAGCGAACGUUCGACCGGGCCGGACCUCGUCAGGUUGUUCUCUUCCGUGUCCUCUGUGUGCGAAAUCGAACACGCGAGCUUAAUGCGACGAUAAAAGCUAUCCAAAAGAUCUUUCUAUCUUUCUUUCUUUCUCUCUUUCUUCAGAGUCACGCUUUCUUCUCCAUGCGGGCGGACCAUUAGCGUGUUCCACGAGGAGUAUUUACGACUCCUCAGUGGCCGCCAUCGGUAUCACGGCUCGCGUCGCGGUCGAACGUCGCGCGCGCUUUUACGCACGGCGUUAUCGUCGUUACUUCGUCGUCUUCAUCCUCGUCAUCUUCGUCGUCGCCGUUGUCGCCGUUGGUGCUGCUGUUGCUGUUGCUGCUGCGCGUAGGCGCACGAGAGAAAGAUCGAAGGAUUUCAUUCGUUUAGGAGAGAGGGAAAGAGAAAGCGCGAUCGUUUGAGUCGGAAAAAAGAGAGAGAAAAAGAGAGGGGCGGUGGGGGGGGAGAGGUUAAAGAAACAAAGAAAGAACUACGAAGCAAAGUAUGUUCGCGAAAGCUGAUAGAACAAUGGAGUUUGGAUAUAGCGAGCAUAGAUGUGGUAAUAGGAGUGUCGUCGUUGGUAGCGGUGAUUAGAAAAAUUAACGAAUGCGCUUGGUUAGCGUUAGAAAGAAAUAGAAAGAAAGAAAGAAAGAAAGAAA